This 1513-nucleotide ribosomal RNA is filed under the name [Eubacterium] siraeum V10Sc8a. RNAcentral's name for it is "16S ribosomal RNA". It matches the Rfam family "Bacterial small subunit ribosomal RNA". Lineage: Bacteria; Bacillati; Bacillota; Clostridia; Eubacteriales; Oscillospiraceae. The record is from RNAcentral.
AUUUAACAAAGAGUUUGAUCCUGGCUCAGGACGAACGCUGGCGGCGCGCCUAACACAUGCAAGUCGAACGGUGAAGAGGAGCUUGCUCCUCGGAUCAGUGGCGGACGGGUGAGUAACACGUGAGCAACCUGGCUCUAAGAGGGGGACAACAGUUGGAAACGACUGCUAAUACCGCAUAACGUAUCGGGAUGGCAUCUUCCUGAUACCAAAGAUUUUAUCGCUUAGAGAUGGGCUCGCGUCUGAUUAGAUAGUUGGCGGGGUAACGGCCCACCAAGUCGACGAUCAGUAGCCGGACUGAGAGGUUGAACGGCCACAUUGGGACUGAGACACGGCCCAGACUCCUACGGGAGGCAGCAGUGGGGGAUAUUGGACAAUGGGGGCAACCCUGAUCCAGCGACGCCGCGUGAGGGAAGAAGGUUUUCGGAUUGUAAACCUCUGUUGACGGAGAAAAAAAUGAUGGUAUCCGUUUAGAAAGCCACGGCUAACUACGUGCCAGCAGCCGCGGUAAUACGUAGGUGGCAAGCGUUGUCCGGAAUUACUGGGUGUAAAGGGAGUGUAGGCGGGAUGUCAAGUCAGAAGUGAAAAUUACGGGCUCAACUCGUAACCUGCUUUUGAAACUGACAUUCUUGAGUGAAGUAGAGGCAAGCGGAAUUCCUAGUGUAGCGGUGAAAUGCGUAGAUAUUAGGAGGAACACCAGUGGCGAAGGCGGCUUGCUGGGCUUUUACUGACGCUGAGGCUCGAAAGCGUGGGGAGCAAACAGGAUUAGAUACCCUGGUAGUCCACGCCGUAAACGAUGAUUACUAGGUGUGGGGGGAUUGACCCCUUCCGUGCCGGAGUAAACACAAUAAGUAAUCCACCUGGGGAGUACGACCGCAAGGUUGAAACUCAAAGGAAUUGACGGGGGCCCGCACAAGCAGUGGAGUAUGUGGUUUAAUUCGACGCAACGCGAAGAACCUUACCAGGUCUUGACAUCAAGUGACCGCCUAAGAGAUUAGGCUUUCCCUUCGGGGACACAAAGACAGGUGGUGCAUGGUUGUCGUCAGCUCGUGUCGUGAGAUGUUGGGUUAAGUCCCGCAACGAGCGCAACCCUUAUCAUUAGUUGCUACGCAAGAGCACUCUAAUGAGACUGCCGUUGACAAAACGGAGGAAGGUGGGGAUGACGUCAAAUCAUCAUGCCCUUUAUGACCUGGGCUACACACGUACUACAAUGGCGUUUAACAAAGAGAAGCAAAGCCGCGAGGCAGAGCAAAUCUCCAAAAAACGUCUCAGUUCGGAUUGUAGGCUGCAACUCGCCUACAUGAAGUCGGAAUUGCUAGUAAUCGUAGGUCAGCAUACUACGGUGAAUACGUUCCCGGGCCUUGUACACACCGCCCGUCAAACCAUGAGAGUUGGCAACACCCGAAGUCGGUAGUCUAACCGCAAGGAGGACGCCGCCGAAGGUGGGGUUGAUGAUUAGGGUUAAGUCGUAACAAGGUAGCCGUAUCGGAAGGUGCGGCUGGAUCACCUCCUUUCU